GAUUGCUGAGACCACACUUCAAAGGGGCAUCCACUUCAAAGAGGCAUCUACUUCAAAGAUGGCCACCUCGAACACACACACUGCCAGCCAUAUAACCAGCCAAAUAAGACUCUUCAUCUAGUGGAUGAUCCAAACCUUCAUUUCUGCUGAAACUGAGUCCUAAUUGAGUCUUAGGUCUGCUAUGUUCCCACAGUUUUCUACAGAUGAACAAUACUGGACAAGAGAACACGAAAAGAUAUUUGGCCAUGAGGUAUGUGGGAUCUCAGCUCCCUGACCAGGGAUCGGACCCGCACCCCCUGCAUUGGAAGGCAAAGUCUUAACUGCUGGACUACCAGGGAGGUCCCUAAUUCUAAAAUCUCUUUAUCUGAUGUACACCCUACUGGUACAUGAAUAUAAAAGAAUACCAGGCUUCUAUCACACCUUCCUCUAGCCUGUCAAAUUAUAUAAGAAUUUUAAAUGCCUAUA
Long non-coding RNA from Hippopotamus amphibius kiboko, 465 nucleotides. RefSeq lists it as uncharacterized. Lineage: Eukaryota; Metazoa; Chordata; Mammalia; Artiodactyla; Hippopotamidae. The record is from RefSeq and is a predicted model, not a curated record. The transcript is spliced from 3 exons.